This is a long non-coding RNA of Alligator mississippiensis (American alligator), 586 nucleotides long. RefSeq lists it as uncharacterized. The record is from RefSeq and is a predicted model, not a curated record. NCBI's taxonomy places the organism in Eukaryota, Metazoa, Chordata, Crocodylia, Alligatoridae. The transcript has 3 exons.
UCUAGCACAGGGCUUAACUAUAGCUCCCAGCUUGGAGCCUGCCAGACAGGGAAUUUCAAUCUUGCAAGAGAAAUGAAGUGCUGACAAGGAUCUAAACUUUGGAUCUAACCUCUCUGCAUCAGGGCCCAUGUUGCCAUUCCCGGGUCUGGUGAAUGGAGUGUGGGCAGUGGAGAGCCAGCUCCUUUUUUGAAGAAAAUAAUGCCUUGGUCCAAAGAGAGUAGGGGAAGCGGAGAGAAGACACCACGUGGAAAAUGCAUGAACCAAACCAAGCCGUCAUGCUGUUUUAUGAGAGAGAAGCCUGGUAACUCAAUGAAGAAACCUUGCAAAAAACAGGGAGGCUACUGUAUGGAAACAAGCUUCUUCAUUCAUUCUUGAGGCCACUUCUUCUCAUCUGUGGCCCAUAAAUACAGCACAGAACUCACUAGCAUUGCAUAAUACUCACCAAAUCCUGUACACAAGCACCCAGACUGAAGCAAUAUUCCCAUUCCCAUGCAAUACAAGACCCUUGAGUAUUGCAAGUAUUGUAUUAGCCCUUUUUGUCCUGUUUAUUCUAUGAAAUUAAUAAAUAUGGCACUAAAUCAACUCA